UGGGAACGGCAUCCGGAACUGUCAAGCUAGAGUGCAGGAGAGGAAGGUAGAAUUCCCGGUGUAGCGGUGAAAUGCGUAGAGAUCGGGAGGAAUACCAGUGGCGAAGGCGGCCUUCUGGACUGACACUGACACUGAGGUGCGAAAGCGUGGGUAGCAAACAGGAUUAGAUACCCUGGUAGUCCACGCCGUAAACGAUGUCGACCAGCCGUUGGGUGCCUAGCGCACUUUGUGGCGAAGUUAACGCGAUAAGUCGACCGCCUGGGGAGUACGGCCGCAAGGUUAAAACUCAAAUGAAUUGACGGGGGCCCGCACAAGCGGUGGAGCAUGUGGUUUAAUUCGAUGCAACGCGAAGAACCUUACCUACUCUUGACAUCCUGCGAACUUGUGAGAGAUCACUUGGUGCCUUCGGGAACGCAGAGACAGGUGCUGCAUGGCUGUCUUCAGCUCGUGUUGUGAAAUGUUGGGUUAAGUCCCGUAACGAGCGCAACCCUUGUCCUUAUUUUGCCAGCGCGUAAUGGCGGGAACUCUAAGGAGACUGCCG
This 541-nucleotide ribosomal RNA is filed under the name Halomonas sp. KBDL16. RNAcentral describes it as "bacterial SSU rRNA". It matches the Rfam family "Bacterial small subunit ribosomal RNA", at positions 615 to 1154 of the family's 1533-position model. The record is from RNAcentral. Lineage: Bacteria; Pseudomonadati; Pseudomonadota; Gammaproteobacteria; Oceanospirillales; Halomonadaceae.